Non-coding RNA from Anolis sagrei ordinatus, 2283 nucleotides. Lineage: Eukaryota; Metazoa; Chordata; Lepidosauria; Squamata; Anolidae. The record is from RefSeq and is a predicted model, not a curated record.
UCAAUUCAGGGGAGCGGCGUGAGCAUCCGCUGUCAGCCCUAGCUUCUGCCAACCUAGCAGUUCAAAAACAUGCAAAUGUGAGUAGAUCAAUAGGUACCGCUCCGGCGGGAAGGUAACGGCGCUCCAUGCAGUCAUGCCGGCCACAUGACCUUGGAGGUGUCUAUGGACAACGCUGGCUCUUCGGCUUAGAAAUGGUGAUGAGCACCACACCUCAGAGUCAGACAUGACUGGACUUAAUGUCAGGGGACAACCUUUACCAUUACUUUUCUAGGAGGCUUCUCUCAUGUCCCAGCACAGGAAGCUAGAGCAGACAGAUGGGAGCUCAACCCACUCCCUGGAUUUGAACCACCAACCUUUUGGUCAGCAGUCCUGCCGGCACAAGGGUUUAAACCAGAGGUCCUCAAACUAAGGCCCAGGGGCCGGAUACGGCCUUCUAAGGUCAUUUACCUGGCCUUCUUUCAGGGUCAACCUAAGUCUGAAACAACUUGAAAACACACAACAACAACAACAACAACAACAACAACAACAAUUCUAUCCCAUCAGCCAAAAGCAGGUCCACACUUCCCAUUGAAAUACUGAUAAGUUUAUAUUUGUUAAAAUUGUUCUUCAUUUUAAUUAUUGUGUUGUUUUCAAGUGUUUUUUGCACUACAAAUAAGAUAUGUGCAUUGUGCAUAGGAAUUCAUUCUUCUUCUUUUUUUCAAAUUAUAAUCCGGCCCUCCAAAAGUUUGAGGGUCUGUGACCUGGCCCUCUGUUUAAAACGUUUGAGUACCCCUGGUUUAAACCAUUGCACCACCAGAGGCUCCCAGUAAAACCAUUGUUAUUUGAGUAUUCCAUCACGUAAAAUAAUAAAUUCAAAGAUCUUAUCGCACCUUUGAUACUAACUGAGAAAAAGAAAUUCUCAUGAGGCUGGAGCGAUAACUAGAGUUGUAAUGUGUUAUGUUUUCAACACGCUCAAUAUGUUCAACAGUGACAAUGGUUUCCUGGUUCGCCACACAUGUUAUAGCACUAGUGAACACCUUGGCCACAUUGGGGCUUUUUUGGCCAGCUUUUCACAUUUCCUUUCUGGUUCGCAGCCAGCACCGCUCUACAUCCCAAUUUUUCCCUUCACCAUUCUUUAGGUUACAUACUCAACCUGGUUUUAUCUUUCCCCUCGCCUUUGUCCCCUAAGGACCAUUGUGUGUGUGUGACUUCAUCGCCAUACCCACAAGUUUUGCAUUUCCACUGCUAUUCCCAUGUACCACCUGCUCCUUCACAGCUCUAUAGGUCUGUCCCAAGGCACUUCACUCCAUGCAUCUAAAGUAGACGUCCAUCUGUGAAAGCUUAUACUUCCAGCUUCUCUCAAUUAGUCUCAAAGGUGCUACAAGACCCGUUUGCAUAUUGAUAGUUUAGAUGAGUAUUGCUAUGUCUUAAAAAAUAAAAUGCCUAAACUCAGAAGGAAGAGAUCUAGUCCUGUCUUGUCCUUAACAUGCUAGAUUAUCUGCUUUGAACUGGAUUAUAUGGCAGUGUAGACUCAUAUAAUCCAGUUCAAAGCAGAUAAUGUGGAUUAUCUGCUUUGAUAAUCUGGAUUGUGUGACAGUGUAGAAGGGGACUCAGAGUCCCUGACUGCUGUGGCUUUUCUGGCAAUUGUAGUUCAAAACCAAAACUUCUCAAAGUUCAUGGACACUAAUUUCAGGGAAUAAAAAUUACACUUUACUCACCCUUCAUGGAGUUCAGGAAUAAAUUGUGAAAAAUGAGAACAAGAAGUAAGUGUGAAAGGAAAGGGAUUUUGCUGUCCCCAUAUGCUGGUCAAAUUCAUCCAACCUUUCACGUGUAUAACACUCCCAUAAAUUUACAAAUAAGGGGCAAAAUGUCUGUUUUACAUACGGAAUACAUGACUUACAAAGCUUUAAAAUAUUUGUAUCACAACGUAGAAUUUUAAAAAUCUUACUCUUGUUUGUAAUGUACUAAUGUUUCCUAUUGCACCUCAGAAACCUUGGUAUAUAAGUGGGAUGCCUUCUCAAUGCUUGCUCCUGUUUCCUUCUUUACUAAACAUUUGAUUAUUGGAUCUAAUAGAGUCCCUCCCUAUCAUUGGUUUGUCACAACCUUCUUUUUAAUGUAGGUUUUUUUUGUCUGUAAAUUUUAUAUUGACUGAAGUAAGAGGUUGGGGAUUUUUUUGUGUAUACAUUUAAACUUAAAAUGGAAAAAAAAACUACAUUACUUUUGUUUCUCUGCUUACACCGAGCGGUAGAAAGAAAUUUGUAUUGUUAAAUAAUAAUAAUAAAUCAAUUAGUUGUUAAAUCAUAA